AUGCCCUUUAAAGUUAGUCCCGUGAGGCUAAGAAGGAAAUCUGCAUUAACUAGGCUUUUUUGUGCUAGUAAUAACAGAAAGACCAUCUUUGACUCCGUGUUCAGGUGGUCUUUUUCCU
Molecule: non-coding RNA, 118 nt
Organism: Lactobacillus helveticus DPC 4571
Lineage: Bacteria; Bacillati; Bacillota; Bacilli; Lactobacillales; Lactobacillaceae
Source: Rfam